This 497-nucleotide ribosomal RNA is filed under the name uncultured bacterium. RNAcentral's name for it is "partial 16S ribosomal RNA". It matches the Rfam family "Bacterial small subunit ribosomal RNA", at positions 28 to 507 of the family's 1533-position model. The record is from RNAcentral.
GAUGAACGCUGGCGGCGUGCCUAAUACAUGCAAGUCGAGCGAACGGACGAGAAGCUUGCUUCUCUGAUGUUAGCGGCGGACGGGUGAGUAACACGUGGAUAACCUACCUAUAAGACUGGGAUAACUUCGGGAAGCCGGAGCUAAUACCGGAUGAUAUUUUGAACCGCAUGGUUCAAAAGUGAAAGACGGUCUUGCUGUCACUUAUAGAUGGAUCCGCGCUGCAUUAGCUAGUUGGUAAGGUAACGGCUUACCAAGGCAACGAUGCAUAGCCGACCUGAGAGGGUGAUCGGCCACACUGGAACUGAGACACGGUCCAGGCUCCUACGGGAGGCAGCAGUAGGGAAUCUUCCGCAAUGGGCGAAAGCCUGACGGAGCAACGCCGCGUGAGUGAUGAAGGUCUUCGGAUCGUAAAACUCUGUUAUUAGGGAAGAACAUAUGUGUAAGUAACUGUGCACAUCUUGACGGUACCUAAUCAGAAAGCCACGGCUAACUACGUG